Molecule: ribosomal RNA, 193 nt
Filed under: uncultured Massilia sp.
Lineage: Bacteria; Pseudomonadati; Pseudomonadota; Betaproteobacteria; Burkholderiales; Oxalobacteraceae
Description: partial 16S ribosomal RNA
Rfam family: Bacterial small subunit ribosomal RNA
Source: RNAcentral
CUACGGGAGGCAGCAGUGGGGAAUUUUGGACAAUGGGGCGAAAGCCUGAUCCAGCAAUGCCGCGUGAGUGAAGAAGGCCUUCGGGUUGUAAAGCUCUUUUGUCAGGGAAGAAACGGUGGAGGCUAAUAUCCUUCGCUAAUGACGGUACCUGAAGAAUAAGCACCGGCUAACUACGUGCCAGCAGCCGCGGUAA